UACGUAGGUGGCAAGCGUUGUCCGGAUUUACUGGGCGUAAAGAGCGCGCAGGCGGUCGUGCAAGUCGCGUGUGAAAGCCCCCGGCUCAACUGGGGAGGGUCACGCGAUACUGAUCGACUCGAAGGCAGGAGAGGGUAGUGGAAUUCCCGGUGUAGUGGUGAAAUGCGUAGAUAUCGGGAGGAACACCAGUGGCGAAGGCGACUACCUGGCCUGUUCUUGACGCUGAGGCGCGAAAGCUAGGGGAGCAAACAGG
RNAcentral lists this ribosomal RNA (253 nucleotides) under uncultured bacterium. Its description in RNAcentral is "partial 16S ribosomal RNA". It matches the Rfam family "Bacterial small subunit ribosomal RNA", at positions 524 to 776 of the family's 1533-position model. The record is from RNAcentral.